Molecule: long non-coding RNA, 555 nt
Filed under: Dromaius novaehollandiae (emu)
Lineage: Eukaryota; Metazoa; Chordata; Aves; Casuariiformes; Dromaiidae
Description: lncRNA (ENSDNVG00000009045.1)
Source: RNAcentral
UGCCUUGAGUUUUGUAGGCAGAAAAGUGAGACUUCAGUACCUGUUGGACAGCAGAAUGUACCUCCUGCCAGCAGCCCAUGAUGUACAGUAUCUUACCGGCCCAGCAUGGUGAUCCUCUUUUGUAGAGGAACCCAGUGCAGGCCUUCCUUUUGACUGAAAACUGACCACGCAAAACAAGCUGCCCAGGGUCUGCAAGUGCCUGCAUUACUCCCAUCUCUGGAAAAGACCAUGAACAUGAAGAUCCCCGUUGGAAUCGUUAAAAGGAUCCAGGUAUCACCAGCACAGGGGUGAAGGAAGCCAAAGGGGUUUUACCAGAGCCAGUAGAGCUGCACUGUUUAUAGCAGGUGCAGAUUCUGAAACUGCCACAGUAAAAUGCUCGACAACCAUGCCUGUUACUUCCUUCCCUCCCGCUCCUUCAGCUAAGGAAGCUGAGUCCUUGACAUGGAGCAACUUCAGCUUGGUUUGAUUGCCAUGAGAUGUUGCAUCUCAUUUAAACCAAUGGACUGCUUGUGCAGGUGCUAGGACUCUAUGGAUGGCUGAAGAACUCACAAGUCC